UGGGGGCAACCCUGAUCCAGCAAUGCCGCGUGUGUGAAGAAGGCCUGCGGGUUGUAAAGCACUUUCGGUAGGGAAGAGUGGUUUGCGGGUCAAUAGCCUGUGAGCUUGACGUUACCUACAGAAGAAGCACCGGCUAACUCCGUGCCAGCAGCCGCGGUAAUACGUAGGGUGCGAGCGUUGUCCGGAAUUACUGGGCGUAAAGAGUUCGUAGGCGGUUUGUCGCGUCGUUUGUGAAAACCCGGGGCUCAACUUCGGGCUUGCAGGCGAUACGGGCAGACUUGAGUGUUUCAGGGGAGACUGGAAUUCCUGGUGUAGCGGUGAAAUGCGCAGAUAUCAGGAGGAACACCGAUGGCGAAGGCGGCCACCUGGACCAGCACUGACACUGAGGCACGAAAGCGUGGGGAGCAAACAGGAUUAGAUACCCUGGUGGUCCACGCCCUAAACGAUGCGAACUGGACGUUGGGCUCAAUUGAGAGUUCAGUGUCGAAGCUAACGCGUUAAGUUCGCCGCCUGGGGAGUACGGUCGCAAGACUGAAACUCAAAGGAAUUGACG
This 553-nucleotide ribosomal RNA is filed under the name uncultured Rhodococcus sp. RNAcentral describes it as "bacterial SSU rRNA". It matches the Rfam family "Bacterial small subunit ribosomal RNA", at positions 372 to 915 of the family's 1533-position model. Lineage: Bacteria; Bacillati; Actinomycetota; Actinomycetes; Mycobacteriales; Nocardiaceae. The record is from RNAcentral.